AGUGAACGCUGGCGGUAGGCCUAACACAUGCAAGUCGAACGGCAGCACAGGAGAGCUUGCUCUCUGGGUGGCGAGUGGCGGACGGGUGAGGAAUACAUCGGAAUCUACUCUGUCGUGGGGGAUAACGUAGGGAAACUUACGCUAAUACCGCAUACGACCUACGGGUGAAAGCAGGUGACCUUCGGGCCUUGCGCGAUUGAAUGAGCCGAUGUCGGAUUAGCUAGUUGGCGGGGUAAAGGCCCACCAAGGCGACGAUCCGUAGCUGGUCUGAGAGGAUGAACAGCCACACUGGAACUGAGACACGGUCCAGACUCCUACGGGAGGCAGCAGUGGGGAAUAUUGGACAAUGGGCGCAAGCCUGAUCCAGCCAUACCGCGUGGGUGAAGAAGGCCUUCGGGUUGUAAAGCCCUUUUGUUGGGAAAGAAAUCCAGCUGGCUAAUACCCGGUUGGGAUGACGGUACCCAAAGAAUAAGCACCGGCUAACUUCGUGCCAGCCGCCGCAGUAA
RNAcentral lists this ribosomal RNA (506 nucleotides) under uncultured bacterium. RNAcentral's name for it is "partial 16S ribosomal RNA". It matches the Rfam family "Bacterial small subunit ribosomal RNA", at positions 29 to 523 of the family's 1533-position model. The record is from RNAcentral.